This 332-nucleotide unclassified non-coding RNA is filed under the name uncultured fungus. RNAcentral's name for it is "partial contains 5.8S ribosomal RNA and internal transcribed spacer 2". The stretch from base 1 to 133 matches the Rfam family "5.8S ribosomal RNA", at positions 22 to 154 of the family's 154-position model. Lineage: Eukaryota; Fungi. The record is from RNAcentral.
UGGUUCUGGCAUCGAUGAAGAACGCAGCGAAAUGCGAUAAGUAAUGUGAAUUGCAGAAUUCAGUGAAUCAUCGAAUCUUUGAACGCACAUUGCGCCCUUUGGCAUUCCGAAGGGCAUGCCCGUUCGAGCGUCAUUAAAUCCAAUCAAGCCUGGCUUGGUAUUGGGCGUCGGGGUCUCCCCGCGCCUCGAUUUCGCCGGCUGGCCGUCGCCCGUCUUAGCGUUGUGACUCACGUUUCGCUAGCGAUGGGACCGGACCACGCCGUUAAAACCCCACGAAUUUCAAUCGAAAUUUGAUUAAGGUUGACCUCGGAUCGGGUAGGAAUACCCGCUGA